UCAUCAUCAUCAUCAUCAUCAAAAGGCAGUAUUGAGCCACCAAAACUACAGCCUGGCAUCCUACGUAUCUCCCAAUGCGAUUUCAGAAAGAACAUUCGACUUUGGUUACACAGAAAAAUGGCUAGUGAGGGCAUCGUGGAGUCAACCAGCCUGGGUGCAAACCUCAACAGGAUCAUGUACUAAUCAGGUGCUCUUAGGAUCAAGAAGGCCUCCACACUUCCUAGGCUGAUGUCAUGAAGGGCCGUCAGCUUUCCCAUAUGAUGCCCCUCUGUAUCCCUGUCACAGGUAACUGCGUGGGUUGGGCGCACCAUGGGACCAGCCCAAAUUGCUAGGGAAGAGCACCCACAAGGGAAUUGGGAAACCUGAGUGGAAGGCCUGUCCCUGUGUGAUCUUGUCACUUUCCCUCUCCAAGCCUCGGUUUCCUAUCUGUUAAAUGAGCACAUUGGUUUAGAGAUUCUUUAAGGUCUCUUCCAUCUCUGAACAUUCUCGGGUUCUCACAUCCAAAGGGAGACAGUCAAGAUGCAAAAAGUAAAACCUAGGUACUCAGCUCAGUGUCUGGGGUGCAGUUGAAGGAGACAUCUUGCAGGCUCCUAAGUUCCAGGGCUCUAACCCUGGACCCUUGGCCUAGAAGAGACCAUAAGGCCAGGUGUCCAGCCUGCCAUCUCCCGCUGAGCACACUCCCCACACCCCAGGCUAGAAAUUGCCCCCUAGAGCAGAGAGUGGUGUUAAACAGCUUGGGCUUUGAAUCCACAUUGAAGUUCUGACCCUGUCACAGAGAACGCAGGAUAGUGAGAGAGACAAGUGCUUGGGCUCAAGGCUCAAAGACUGAAACUCAGAUCCAUGCGCCUCUGGGCAAGUUAUUUAAUCUCUCUAACUUUGGUCUCCUUAUCUGUUGAAUAGAAAUGAUAAUAAUAGUCCAAAUUGCAUAGGGCUGCUGUGAAGAUCAGAUAAGAUAGUGCCUGUAAAGCACCUAACCCAGGCUCUUGGUCAAUAUGUAGAAGCUGUUGUUGUUGUUGUUGUUGUUGUUGUUGUUGUUGUUGUUGUUAUUGUUGUUGUUAUUGCCUACUCAUUGGAAGCUUUUCUUGAUGUUCAUGUGAACCAGGAAACACUGGAUUAUAAAUGUUGUGAUGGAGAGGGGGUGGGACACAUUGAUUGGAAACACCAAAUGGGGCUUCGAAGCCCUAGAGAUGGCCCUUGUAAUUAAGAGAGUAGCCCUAAAUUUGAGAACUCAGUCACCCCCCUGCAGGGGUUGAUGUAUGUACUACCCUGGGACACAGGGAGGCUGCCCAGGAGAGGCCACACCCUACCCCUGGACUGAGAGAAGGGCUUGCAGAGACCUCUCUGCCAUCCUCCUGUGAGGGCUGGCAUUUGUAGCCUGAUGGCCUUCUAUUGAUGGCUGUGGCCUAGGGCCACUUCAGCCUGUCACAUUGGACUUCUCUCCCUCCCCCAAAGGGAGAAGCCUUUGGCAGUCACCUCCUAGCAUGGAUUUGGCAUUUGCUCCUUGAAAAACUCCAGGCCAGCCGGAGUGUGGGGCAAAAUCUCCUCCCAUCUAGAUCAUGUGCUAGCUGCCUUGCUCUGCCAUCUUCCCACAGACAUGCUGGUCUCGCCUGCUGCCUUUGGCCCUGAAGUUGCAGCAGCUCUACAAGAGGCAGAGUCACUAUCUCCCCACUCCCACACCCCACCCUGGGCUCCUUCGGAAUCUGCACUCAGAGGGCUCCUCUAUGAACAGUGUCACAAGGCUUUGCCCUCUCAAAAAUAUCAUCUUCUCAAAAAAGCCUGUAUUAAGCACUUAUCGGCGCAUGGUGUUGUGCUGAGCUCUGUUUCUAGUGAGUCACACUGUCACAGGCUCUGCCCUCUGGGAAAAAGUCUGGAAUCUUUGGCAAAGACUGUAAACUCCAGUUUAGCUAAGUACUUGGUUGUUAGGAAGGAAGGAGUCUUUUAAAAAUGUCCCCAAGGCCAUUGGGCAGUGACCCUCUUCUACUUGUUUUCACCUCCCUUUUCCCACUUCUGGCUUUCUCCUCUCCUCUCCUCCUGUUCUCUCUCCUUCCUCUUGCCCCAAACUCCCAAACACUUUCUUUCUCCUCCAUCUGAAUUUCAGGUGGACUUAUUCUCCCUCUUUUAAAUCCAGAGAAUUCUUUGGCUCAAUGUGACACUUGAUUUUAAGCAAGCAAUAACAUUAAAUUUUAAGGUCUUUGAGGGUUUAAGAACACAUCCAUAAGUAUAUUUCUACUUUGGAUAUAAAAAGGCAUGUUUCAGGGUGCGCCUGGGUGGCUCAGUCGGUUAAGUGCCUGACUUCAGCUCAGGUCAUGAUCUCAUGGGUUCAUGAAUUUGAGCCCCACAUUGGUAUCUGCUGACGGUAUGGAGCCUGCUUGGGAUUUUCUCUCUCUGCCCCUCCCCCACUUCUCUCUCUCUCUCUCUCCCUCUCUCUCUCUGUAUCUCAAAAUAAAUAAACUUUAAAAAAAAUAGGGGUGCCUGUGUGGCUCAGUUGGUUGAGCAUCCAACUUCGGCUCAAGUCAUGAUCUUGCGGUUUGUGGGUGGGUUCGAGCCCCACAUCAGGCUCACUGUUGUCACCACAUAGCCCACUUCGGAUCCUCUGUCCCGCUCUCUCUCUGUCCCUCCCUCUCCCUCUCUCUCAAAAAUAAAUACACAUUUUUUUAAAAAAAUGAAAAUAAUAAAUUAAAAAGCCAUGUUUCAGAAAUUCCAGAAUCUUUUUUUUUUAGUUUUUUUAAAUGUUUAUUUAUUUUUGAGAGAGAACUCAAGCAGGAGAGGGGCAAAGAGAGAGAGGGACACAGAAUCUGAAGCAGGCUCCAGGCUCUGAGCUGUCAGCACAGAGCCUGACAUGGGGCUCGAACCCACGAACUGCAAGAUCAUGACCUGAACCAAAGUCAGACACCCAACUGAUUGAGCCACCCUGGCGCCCAGAAAUUCCAGAAUCUUACAACCUUACAUUAAAGAAGUUAGACACACUAGAGAAAGUCCUAACCAAGCAAACGUCAACAUACGAGCCCUAGAAAAAGAUACAGACAGCUACUUUGACUUUAAAAAGGAAAUGUAGCAAUUCCCCCCAAAAUGCAAGGGACAAACAAGGUCUCUAUUUCAAAACAGUGCCCCAUCUUCCUGACCCUGGGGCUCCGUUGCUCUCCAGAGCUCUCCCUUACCAGUACCUAGCUGCCCAUCUUCCUGACAUCCAGUGCCUCGGCCCAGUUUCCGAAGCCAUUUUAAAACACAUUCAUUUUAAUAAUCAAGGAAUCUGGAGUUGUGCACAGUUUAGUAUUUCAUCAUUCUCCCCCGUUACUCAGCCCUUCUCUCCACAUCACUCAGAAGAGGCACCUUGGGGUCAUUUGGGCUCCUGACCAGCAAGAGGGAAAUUGACCUCCACCCAACAGCCAGCGUCAGACCAUAGGCUCAAGGAAAACCCAGCUGUGGAUCCAGUAGAGUUGGUAUUUAGUGCCCAGGGCCUUUUGAGGUGCAUUCCUGCCCAUAAUCCUGCCCCCUCUGACCCCUGACACAUGAAGCUGCCCUUGCCAUGUCCUCCCUCUGCACCUAGAAAUGUAUCUGUCCUGUCGAGUUUCUACCUUUUCUGAACCAGCGUGAACACAAAUGGUCAGAUGAGAAUAUCUGUACUUAGCCAAUUUGAUAAAUAAGCUAAUGGGGGUGGGGAUGGGGGUGGGGGUGGGAAGGAGCAAGACACUUUCCUUGGCCCUCAGAUAAGUUGCUCUGCAUUUUUACAAGGGCCUGCUGAAGACAAUACCAACAGAAUGAGUAAUGAGGUAGUUCAUUCAUUAGGUAUCCCAGACAAAUAAACAAGAUACCAUUUGAGAGGAGACUGUUCCAAAAGAACAAGUUUGUUAGGAAGGGCUGGCGGGUGACCCUGCCUCAAUUGCUUUAAAAGGGCUCAUGGCUUUGUGCUGGAACCACCCCUCUUCACCCCUGUUCCACCUCACUCCUGAUCCUAACCAUAAACUGUAGUUUAAAAUAAAGCGGUUUUCAUUCACUGUGGAUUUUCAUGUUUUCCCCUUCUCUAAUGCCUCAGGGCUUAGCCAAAGUGGGUUUUUGCAGCCCACCAGCACCCAAGAAGUAGAAGAGACCUCAGGAUGUGCAAAGUGCUUUGGGAUCCAUCCCACAGACUGGGAGCAAGAGAUGCCUUAGCCUUAUACCUCCCUCUGCCCACAGGUGCCACUGCUCACGGCUCAGGGUCAAGGAUGGGAUCAAACAUGCUUUUCCUAUGGCAGGUGGCAGGCAUGGGCAAAGGGCAGGAGUGUAACCACUCCCGCCAGCCCUAACAAAACGGGUGAGGUGGGGACCAUGCCACUGAGAGAAACGAAAGGGAAUGAGGAGGUGCCGAGGGUCUUCGGCUCGGCACGCGGCGACACGGCCACGCGCUGGACGUUUACAACCACUAGAGCGAUGCCUCAAGCGAGGCCCCCUUCCAGAUCCCUCCCUUCCCGGACCUGACCGUCUGGAUCACCUUGAUCUUCUCGCCCUCGAUUUCCACGGUCUUCUCCCUGAAGUCCACGCCAAUGGUGGCCUCAGUCUUGUCCGGGAAGGUCCCCCCGCAGAAGCGGAAGGUCAGGCAGGU
Acinonyx jubatus (cheetah) is the source of this 4579-nucleotide long non-coding RNA. RefSeq lists it as uncharacterized. The transcript is spliced from 3 exons. The record is from RefSeq and is a predicted model, not a curated record. Lineage: Eukaryota; Metazoa; Chordata; Mammalia; Carnivora; Felidae.